Molecule: ribosomal RNA, 598 nt
Filed under: uncultured Planctomycetota bacterium
Lineage: Bacteria; Pseudomonadati; Planctomycetota
Description: bacterial SSU rRNA
Rfam family: Bacterial small subunit ribosomal RNA
Source: RNAcentral
AGGAGGUUUGGAUCCUGGGCUCGGAAUGAACGUUGGCGGCGUGGAUUAAGCAUGCAAGUCGUGCGAUGAAGCAGUGCUUGCACUGUGGAUUAGCGGCGUAAGGGAGAGUAACGCGUGGAUACGUACCCUCUGGUCUGGGAUAGCGGCGGGAAACUGCCGGUAAUACCGGAUAAUGUCUCCGGACCAAAGGUGUGAUUCCGCCGGAGGAGCGGUCCGCGUCCUAUUAGGUUGUUGGUGGGGUAAAGGCCUACCAAGCCGAAGAUGGGUACCGGGUGUGAGAGCAUGACCCGGCUCACUGGGACUGAGACACUGCCCAGACACCUACGGGUGGCUGCAGUCGAGAAUCUUCCGCAAAGGGCGCAAGCCUGACGGAGCGACGCCGCGUGCGGGAUUAAGGCCUUCGGGUUGUAAACCGCUGUCAGAGAGGCGGAAAUGCUAUGGGGUUCUCUCCAUAGUUUGACCUAAUCUCAGAGGAAGUGCAGGCUAAGUUCGUGCCAGCAGCCGCGGUAAUACGAACUGCACAAACGUUAUUCGGAAUCACUGGGCUUAAAGAGUCCGUANGCGGNCCUGGAAGGUGAGGUGUGAAAUCCCUCGGCUC